This 647-nucleotide ribosomal RNA is filed under the name uncultured Flavobacteriales bacterium. RNAcentral's name for it is "bacterial SSU rRNA". It matches the Rfam family "Bacterial small subunit ribosomal RNA", at positions 64 to 711 of the family's 1533-position model. The record is from RNAcentral. Lineage: Bacteria; Pseudomonadati; Bacteroidota; Flavobacteriia; Flavobacteriales.
GAGCGGUAUUGUUUCUUCGGAAAUGAGAGAGCGGCGUACGGGUGCGGAACACGUGUGCAACCUGCCUUUAUCUGGGGGAUAGCCUUUCGAAAGGAAGAUUAAUACUCCAUAAUAUAUUGAAUGGCAUCGUUUAAUAUUGAAAGCUCCGGCGGAUAGAGAUGGGCACGCGCAAGAUUAGCUAGUUGGUGAGGUAACGGCUCACCAAGGCAAUGAUCUUUAGGGGGCCUGAGAGGGUGAUCCCCCACACUGGUACUGAGACACGGACCAGACUCCUACGGGAGGCAGCAGUGAGGAAUAUUGGUCAAUGGGUGCAAGCCUGAACCAGCCAUCCCGCGUGAAGGACGACUGCCCUAUGGGUUGUAAACUUCUUUUGUAUAGGGAUAAACCUACCCUCGUGAGGGUAGCUGAAGGUACUAUACGAAUAAGCACCGGCUAACUCCGUGCCAGCAGCCGCGGUAAUACGGAGGGUGCAAGCGUUAUCCGGAUUUAUUGGGUUUAAAGGGUCCGUAGGCGGACUUAUAAGUCAGUGGUGAAAGCCUGUCGCUUAACGAUAGAACUGCCAUUGAUACUGUAAGUCUUGAGUAUAUUUGAGGUAGCUGGAAUAAGUAGUGUAGCGGUGAAAUGCAUAGAUAUUACUUAGAACACCA